GCCUUGCCACGCCCGCUCAGAAACUUAAAGGAAUUGACGGGGGCCCGCACAAGCAGCGGAGCAUGUGGUUUAAUUCGAAGCAACGCGAAGAACCUUACCAAGACUUGACAUCCCCUGACAGCUGUUGAAAGGCAGUGUCUCUUCGGAGCAGGGAGACAGGUGGUGCAUGGUUGUCGUCAGCUCGUGUCGUGAGAUGUUGGGUUAAGUCCCGCAACGAGCGCAACCCUUAUCCUUAGUUACCAGCACGUAAAGGUGGGGACUCUAGGGAGACCGCCGGGGACGACUCGGAGGAAGGUGGGGACGACGUCAAAUCAUCAUGCCCCUUAUGUCUUGGGCUACACACGUGCUACAAUGGCCGCAACAGAGGGAAGCGAGAGCGCAAGCUGGAGCAAAACCCUAAAAAGCGGUCCCAGUUCGGAUUGUGGGCUGCAACCCGCCCACAUGAAGUCGGAGUUGCUAGUAAUCGCGAAUCAGCAUGUCGCGGUGAAUGCGUUCCCGGGCCUU
Molecule: ribosomal RNA, 504 nt
Filed under: uncultured Lachnospiraceae bacterium
Lineage: Bacteria; Bacillati; Bacillota; Clostridia; Lachnospirales; Lachnospiraceae
Description: bacterial SSU rRNA
Rfam family: Bacterial small subunit ribosomal RNA
Source: RNAcentral